RNAcentral lists this long non-coding RNA (234 nucleotides) under Monodelphis domestica (gray short-tailed opossum). Its description in RNAcentral is "lncRNA (ENSMODG00000042395.1)". Lineage: Eukaryota; Metazoa; Chordata; Mammalia; Didelphimorphia; Didelphidae. The record is from RNAcentral.
CAAAGGAAAGUGAGGUGGCCCAGUGAAGAGAGACAGUGAUCAAAACAGAUGGAAAGUGUGGAAGAUAGAGCCACUGCUCCUGAAGAAAAAGCUAGGGGUGGACUGCUACACCAAUGUUACCACACCACUUCCAGUGGAGCUCAAGCUACUGCCACUGAGGACUGCACAGUACCAGUUAACCUCCAACAGAGAGAUUACCCAAAGGCUCUUGAUGUCUUGGACUUGCAAGGCUGA